GUGUGGUCUUGUUGUAGGUGUGGUCUUGUUGUAGGUGUGGUCUUAUAGGUGUGCUCUUGUUGUAGGUGUGGUCUUGUUGUAGGUGUGCUCUUGUUGUAGGUGUGGUCUUGUUGUAGGUGUGCUCUUGUAGGUGUGCUCUUGUUGUAGGUGUGCUCUUAUAGGUGUGGUCUUGUUGUAGGUGUGGUCUUAUAGGUGUGCUCUUGUUGUAGGUGUGGUCUUGUAGGUGUGCUCUUGUUGUAGGUGUGGUCUAGUUGUAGGUGUGCUCUUAAAGGUGUGUUCUUGUUGUAGGUGUGGUCUUGUUGUAGGUGUGGUCUUGUUGUAGGUGUGCUCUUGUUGUAGGUGUGCUCUUAUAGGUGUGCUCUUGUUGUAGGUGUGGUCUUGUUGUAGGUGUGCUCUUGUUGUAGGUGUGGUCUAGUUGUAGGUGUGUUCUUA
Molecule: long non-coding RNA, 432 nt
Organism: Oncorhynchus tshawytscha (Chinook salmon)
Lineage: Eukaryota; Metazoa; Chordata; Actinopteri; Salmoniformes; Salmonidae
Source: Ensembl